AUGUGCACUGUCAAAAUGUCGUCUGCUAGAUGCGUGUGUUCAAACUCAAAAUGCUUUCACUGCAAACGCCGAUGGAUCGCAUUGCCCUGGACUGUUCAACUCAUGGUGAAUAUGAAUUUAUCAAAUUCAAGGACUAGCAGUCUCACCAUUCAUCAACUUUGAACUUCACCGCUUGAAAUUAUAAUGAACACUCAAGAUGAUGACAAGCAUUGGUAUAAAAGAUGCGCCCGCCUGACUGAAGAGAGCCUGUGAGAUGCUGCCUCGUCAUGACUUCAAAUACGUCAUCUUCUCACCGUCUCAAGCUAAUUCAGUUCAACUUUGUGAUUCAUUCAAUACUAAGAUGGUUAAGGUACGUCUCAUGUAGUGAGUUUUAAUUAUUGUAAAAAGAUCUGUUUACACGGACUCUUAUAUAUAAAACCCAUCAGACAUCAGUCUUUACUGUUUACAACUUGAUACAAAGUUGAUAUUUAUUUCAAAAGCUAUGAAUUUAAUUCAAAGCAAAGUGUGGUGCAGUAAACAGAUCUUUACCAUGUAAAGUCCUAUGGCUGUUUAUGUGAUUGCUGAAUAUUGUCAUGUACAUUUUAUAACUCCUUUAAUUCAUCAGGCCUGAUACUUUAAAGAGAAACAUUACGCAGCAAUUGCCUCCAUGCACACGGUCUUGGUCAUUGCCUUGGCGCCCAAAAUGUUCCGGUACUUAUUUAAAUUUCCCUCAUACUGCGUUUUACUGAGCAAAAGCUGCCUUGCCGUUACAAGAAUGAAGCAUCAGGCCUGAAUCAUGGUUAAUGAAAUGCAGAAAUCAACAGGGCAACACUUUUUACUGAAUACAAAGCAAUGAAAUGGAAAGUCAUGCAACCUCGUUGUAGUAUGCAUGCAUGGUAUGGGUAUAUGUACAGUUUUAAACACAAUUUGUACACAGGUCAGACAGAGUUAAAACAGGUUUUAAAUACUUAGUUUGGAUGUAUAUGGGGUAAAUAUGAUGUAGUUGUAUCAUGCGUGAUGAUAUUUAUCUGCAAAACAUUGUACGAACCGAGCAGGGCCUUAAGUUUUAACCAUAAUCAUAAUGUAUGGAAACUUAGAGUGAACAUCUGUAUUUCCACAAAGUUAGAUGCUUUAGUACGUAAAAGUACUGUAUUGUAUCUUUCCACCAUUUUAUCUUAAAAAGUAGAUUCUGCAAAGCCACGAGAACCCUAAAAUACAGAGUUAUCUAAUUUCUUUAGAUUUCUUUAAUGUAUUUAACUUGGAAAUUUGGCAAUGUAGAUGGUCGUUCUAAGCUUCCAUACAAUUUUUAGCAAUAGUUUUGAAGUCUGGCUCCUUGUCUCUUAGUGCUUUUACAACACUAUUCUGAAUGUAGGUACCAGACUAAUUUCUUCACACACUUGUUUAAUAUAACUUAUGUUAUCAAGAUUCUUGUGUAUAAAAAGGUCCUUUUUAACAAGCUUAUCAAAUAAAACAGCUUCUGAAUUCAAAGUUGAGUGGAGCAUACUAUCUGUUACACUUAAAAAUAAGAAGUUAGAAGUUACGAACGCUUGUUCUGUGCAUUUAAAUUGAUGUAAAUAAGAGUUAUAGCAUAGUACAAUUUACGCUAAGUGCCGUCUUAGAGUUAUAAUAAGCAAUUAUUUAUUAAAAAAGACACUUUCCUGUGAAAAUCUUUGUUACCAGAAUUCGUAUACCAUGUAGAAUGUUAAUAGGACACUCUGGAGUGUAUUCCGUACUGUUUUAAAGGUGUUUUGGAGGUUUCUGAAUGUCAAAAUUUGAAAGUUUGAAAUUUUCAGUUAUUUUUAGAGUGUUUUGGGCAAAAAAAAAAAUGUUCGAAUAAAAAUUAACGAGCAUGCGUUUCAGGCGAUUUUAAGAAAAUGAAUUGCCAAAAAAAAAAAUUAAUGGUGAUUUUUUGAAGUUUUUAC
Molecule: long non-coding RNA, 1901 nt
Organism: Asterias rubens (European starfish)
Lineage: Eukaryota; Metazoa; Echinodermata; Asteroidea; Forcipulatida; Asteriidae
Exons: 3
Source: RefSeq, a predicted model, not a curated record